CCUACGGGGAGCAGUAGUGAGGAAUAUUGGUCAAUGGACGAGAGUCUGAACCAGCCAAGUAGCGUGAAGGAUGACUGCCCUAUGGGUUGUAAACUUCUUUUAUAUGGGAAUAAAAUGUUCCACGUGUGGGAUUUUGUAUGUACCAUAUGAAUAAGGAUCGGCUAACUCCGUGCCAGCAGCCGCGGUAAUACGGAGGAUCCGAGCGUUAUCCGGAUUUAUUGGGUUUAAAGGGAGCGUAGGUGGAUUGUUAAGUCAGUUGUGAAAGUUUGCGGCUCAACCGUAAAAUUGCAGUUGAAACUGGCAGUCUUGAGUACAGUAGAGGUGGGCGGAAUUCGUGGUGUAGCGGUGAAAUGCUUAGAUAUCACGAAGAACUCCGAUUGCGAAGGCAGUUCACUGGACUGCAACUGACACUGAGGCUCGAAAGUGUGGGUAUCAAACAGGAUUAGAUACCCCGGUAGUC
Molecule: ribosomal RNA, 460 nt
Filed under: uncultured bacterium
Lineage: Bacteria
Description: partial 16S ribosomal RNA
Rfam family: Bacterial small subunit ribosomal RNA
Source: RNAcentral